This 459-nucleotide ribosomal RNA is filed under the name uncultured bacterium. RNAcentral's name for it is "partial 16S ribosomal RNA". It matches the Rfam family "Bacterial small subunit ribosomal RNA", at positions 338 to 795 of the family's 1533-position model. The record is from RNAcentral.
CCUACGGGAGGCAGCAGUGAGGAAUAUUGGUCAAUGGGCGGAAGCCUGAACCAGCCAAGUAGCGUGCGGGAUGAAGGCCCUACGGGUCGUAAACCGCUUUUGCACGGGGAUAAAACCCUCCACUUGUGGAGGUCUGCAGGUACCGUGCGAAUAAGGGCCGGCUAAUUCCGUGCCAGCAGCCGCGGUAAUACGGAAGGCCCGAGCGUUAUCCGGAUUCAUUGGGCUAAAAGGGAGCGUAGGCGGGCGUUCAAGUCAGCUGUAAAAUCGCGCGGCUCAACCGCGCCCCGCAGUUGAAACUGGACGACUUGAGUACACAACAGGCAGGCGGAAUUCGGGGUGUAGCGGUGAAAUGCAUAGAUAUCACGAGGAACCCCGAUUGCGAAGGCAGCCUGCCGGGGUGCGACUGACGCUGAGGCUCGAAGGUGCGGGUAUCAAACAGGAUUAGAUACCCGAGUAGUC